This 491-nucleotide ribosomal RNA is filed under the name uncultured bacterium. RNAcentral's name for it is "partial 16S ribosomal RNA". It matches the Rfam family "Bacterial small subunit ribosomal RNA", at positions 29 to 506 of the family's 1533-position model. The record is from RNAcentral.
AGUGAACGCUGGCGGUAGGCCUAACACAUGCAAGUCGAACGGCAGCACAGUAAGAGCUUGCUCUUACGGGUGGCGAGUGGCGGACGGGUGAGGAAUACAUCGGAAUCUACUUUUUCGUGGGGGAUAACGUAGGGAAACUUACGCUAAUACCGCAUACGACCUACGGGUGAAAGCAGGGGAUCUUCGGACCUUGCGCGAUUGAAUGAGCCGAUGUCGGAUUAGCUAGUUGGCGGGGUAAAGGCCCACCAAGGCGACGAUCCGUAGCUGGUCUGAGAGGAUGAUCAGCCAACCUGGAACUGAGACACGGUCCAGACUCCGACGGGAGGCAGCAGUGGGGAAAUUUGGAAAAUGGGCGCAAGCCUGAUCCAGCCAUCCCGGGUGGGUGAAGAAGGCCUUCGGGUUGUAAAGCCCUUUUUUUGGGAAAGAAAAGCAGCAGGUUAAUACCCCGCUGUUCUGACGGUACCAAAAGAAUAAGCACCGGCUAACUUCGU